GCUGGCAUGGUGGUGCAUGCCUGUAGUCCCAGCUACUCAGGAGGCUGAGGUAGGAGGAUAACUUGAGCCCAGGAGGUCAGGGCUGCAGUGAGCUAUGAUGGCACCACUGCACUCUAGCCUGGGCAACAGAGUGAAACCCUGCCUCAA
This 147-nucleotide signal recognition particle RNA is filed under the name Pan paniscus (pygmy chimpanzee). Its description in RNAcentral is "Metazoan signal recognition particle RNA". It matches the Rfam family "Metazoan signal recognition particle RNA". Rfam says of the family: The signal recognition particle (SRP) is a universally conserved ribonucleoprotein. It is involved in the co-translational targeting of proteins to membranes. Lineage: Eukaryota; Metazoa; Chordata; Mammalia; Primates; Hominidae. The record is from Rfam by way of RNAcentral. RNAcentral also lists the same sequence under 1 other name.